RNAcentral lists this ribosomal RNA (671 nucleotides) under Pomacentrus brachialis (charcoal damsel). RNAcentral describes it as "partial 16S ribosomal RNA". It matches the Rfam family "Bacterial large subunit ribosomal RNA", at positions 594 to 1753 of the family's 2925-position model. Lineage: Eukaryota; Metazoa; Chordata; Actinopteri; Pomacentridae. The record is from RNAcentral.
UGACCUCGUACCUUUUGCAUCAUGAUUUAGCCAGUACACCUCAAGCAAAAAGAAUUUUAGUUUGACCCCCCGAAACUGGGUGAGCUACUCCAAGACAGCCUAGAAAUAGGGCAACCCCUUCUCUGUGGCAAAAGAGUGGGAAGAUCUUUGAGUAGAGGUGACAGACCUACCGAACCUAGUGAUAGCUGGUUGCCGGGGAAAUGAAUAGAAGUUCAGCCUCACAAAUUCUUCCCAAAUUAAGAGAGUUAUUCAAAAGGGGUACAGCCCUUUUGAAAUAAGACACAACUUUUUAAGGAGGAUAAAGAUCAUAUCUACUCGAAGGGAACAACGCCGUGGUUGGCUUAAAAGCAGCCAUCCAUACAGAAAGCGUUAAAGCUCAGGACCUUAAUACCGACAAUUAUUCUUAAACCCCUAAACCUACCCGGCCGUCCCAUGCCCCCAUGGGAGCAAUUAUGCUAGAAUGAGUAAUAAGAGGGGACUCUCUCCCCGCACAUGUGUACAUCGGAACGAACCCCCACCGAACCUUAACGGCCCCAAACAAAGAGGGCACUGUGAAACAACAAGAAAACUCCCCACCGUUAACCCCACACUGGUGUGCUUAUUAGGAAAGACUAAAAGAAAAAGAAGGAACUCGGCAACCAAGCCUCGCCUGUUUACCAAAAACAUCGCCU